AUACUUUGAUUGUUCAUUCAGCACGAAUCUCGUUAUGGUCAUCAAAUCCGUACGGUAAGCAUCUGCUUCGUGAUCCAUCUUUGUUCUUCUCUCUCUCUCUUCCUAAGCUUCUACGCUAACCAAAUGACUUUUAAUUUAGAGAGAGAAGAGACUGAAUGUGCAAUCUUUUUAAACCCUAUUUUAUGUGUUGCACGUUUCGAGGAAGAUGAUGAGAUAAAGACGCGACCGGUGAGAAAUCAAACGACCAAACGAAGCCAACGAGACUAGAGGGAGAUCGGAUUGACACGUGGCAGUGACAGGUUUGGCCAUCAUCUUGUUGGGGAUAACGAUAACGAUGACGAACCUCGUCCUCGUAUGUUUGGUUUGGUUCAAUCACCUGAUCGUCUAACCCUGUUACGAUAAGAAUAAGAAGAUUCGGUUACCCUUUAUUUUCAUACUAGGUGAUUGUCCGCAGCAACUUUAUAUAUUUAAGUUGUAUAAUAUUUUUAUAUUUAAGUUUACGAAUAAUAAUUAAAUUAUAUAAUAUAUUUUGUUAAACUUUCAGUAUAUAUCAUUUUUUUAAGAUGAACAACACUUAUUUACAAUAAUAAAAUGAAAUUAUACCAUUAAUAUUAAUCAAAUAUAAUAAAAAUAGUAUUUUAGAUAAUAAAUGAAACAAACUUUAAUAAAUAUUUCUUCAGAAAAAACAUUCUAUGUCUAAGUCUCUAAAAGAAGCUUCUUGAAUCGGUGAACUUCGAGGGAUGAAGGAUCGAUCAAAAUUUUACUACAUUUGAAGGUGUUGUAACAAUCCAGAUGUCAUGCACUUGGAUCACCUUUACAAAUCUUAAAACACAUAUGACAAUAGGUUGUUUGCAAUUAAGUAGAGAUCCUAAAAAAAAUUAUGAGUGAUCACCAUCUAGAUGCACUUGUAAACAACGACCGUUAUAAAUUAGUAAAAUCAGAGAGUUUAAUGUCAAUGAUAAACAUGAUAAAAUAUUCACAAACAUGAUAUAUAAAUUAUUUAAGACAAUAAAGACUAAUACAUAUAUAAACCUUUACUAUCGUAUUCUCGAUAUUAAGGAAAAUCACAUUUUAAUUCUGGUUUUUAGGGGUCUCGACAUCAAUUGCAUAGCGUGGGGCAUAGAAACUGAACAUUUUGAAUCCUUAUUGAAAAACACCCCUCGUCGCAAAAUCGUUUUCUGUGUAUUGAGAUUUUGGGAGAUGUGUCGAUAUGGAGGUGAUUUUUCAUUCUCGCGAUCAACCAUAUAUCAACGUAUAUCAAUUGUAGCUAAUAUAAUUUUCCAUUUUGUGCAGAUGAAAUGCGUGUUUGUUCUGACCAAGAAUUCUCUGAAAUAUUGUUUGAUCCUGAUACAAGCACCAAGCUGUCAAGGACUUGUAUAGAAUCGGAAGCAAAGCUUUAGGUCGAUGGCCAAGGGUUGAUUCAAAUGAAUGAGCAACUCUAGACAAGUGAAUCGAUGUGGUGGCUAAGUGACAAGGUGGAUCGAAGUGUACCACACAAGUUGUGUAAGACUUGUGAUAAAACACGAGAACUUUGAUCUAGGAGGUACUGGUCUCAACUAGAGCAAAGGGUUAAACAAGUUUCUCUCAAAGAAAACUGGUUUAAAGAAAGUUCGAUUUUUUAUUGAUAUGAAAGGUGAAAAAUUACAAGGCUGUAAUGGGACCUUAUAUAAUGGUCCUAGCAGCAUAGACUCAAAGAAAUAAAAAGACUCAAAACAACAAGACUUUUAAAAGUAAAGACUCAAAACAACAAGACUUGUAAAUUAAAAAUGCUAAAUUAAAGGACUCAAAAAAAAGGAAAUAAAAGACUAAUUAAAUUGUCUCUGCAUAAGACCAAAGACAAGAGAAACUCAUUAGUCAAAGAAUUGAAAUUUGAUUGAACACUUACCUUAUUUGGUGGCCGAGACUAGUGUGUCUUUGACUAGACUUGAAUCUUCCCUCUUAAGUGUCUUGGUUCAUUGGUGAGAUAGUCAGCAUGUAGACUUGGGCUUGAUUUGGUAAAAGGGGCCAAAUAUCUUGACUCUUUGAAGCUGGGCCGUUUGCUAGCUCUUGGCAUUCUUCAAGUAGUCCGGUCCAAGCUUGUUGUUGAUGGGCUUCAUUAUGCGGCUCCACUUGUUCAUGGUCUUCUCUCGGCCUCUCUUGAUCCACUUGAGACAUUGCUUGUAGCAUGCUUUGGUUGUACUUGUAUUGAAGAAUCUUAGCUCUUUGUCUUGUUAUUGGGCCUUCAUGAAUGACUGGUAUUUCGACAUCUUGUAGUUGUGGCUCGGUUAAGUCUGGCUCAGCUUGAAUGGCCUCAUCAUUCCCUCCCUCUUCAAGAGGUUUUGACCUCAAAACUGGAUCAUCUGCAAUAUAGGGAGCUAGAUCAGAUACAUUGAAAGUUGAGGAUAUGUUAAACUCACCUGGUAGUUCGAGUUUGUAGGCAUUGUUGUUGAUCUUCUCUAGUAUCUUGAAAGGUCCAUCUCCUCUUGGUGCUAGCUUUGAACUCCUUUGGUUUGGGAAUCUUUCAUGUCUCAUGUGCAGCCAUACCCAGUCUCCUGGUUCAAACACCACUUCUUUGCGUCCUUUGUUGGCGUGCUUCACAUAUUGUUCAGUUCUCUUCUCCAAGUUCUCCUUUGCCUUUUGAUGUAGUUUCUUUAUGAAAUCAGCUCUUCUUUCUCCAUCUAAGCUCACGGCUUCAGCUGGUGGUAAUGGUGUGAAUUCCAUUGGGGUCUUGGGGUUGAAUCCAUAGACUAUUUCGAAUGGCGACAUCUUUGUAGCUGCAUGCUGAGCUCUGUUGUAGGCGAAUUCGAUGAAGGGUAUGCACUCCAACCAGUUCUUCAUGUUUCUUCCAAGAGUGGCCCUUAACAAUGUAGAUAAGGUUCUGUUCACCACCUCAGUUUGGCCAUCUGUUUGGGGAUGACAAGUAGUAGAGAACAAAAGUUUAGUGCCAAGCUUCUUCCACAAGGUUCUCCAAAAGUGGCUCAAGAACUUGCUAUCUCGGUCAGAUACAAUGGUUCUUGGCACUCCAUGUAAACGCACAACCUCCUUGAAGAAUAGAUCCGCCGUUUGAGAUGCAUCAUUAACCUUUGCACAAGGUAUAAAAUGUGCCAUCUUGGAAAAUCUGUCCAUCACCACAAAUAUACAGUCUUUGUGCUUGAUCUUUGGCAACCCCAGCACAAAAUCCAUUGAAAUAUCAACCCAUGGUGCUGUAGGAAUCGGCAAUGGCAAGUACAAGCCGUGAGGGUGUACUCUAGACUUGGCCUUCUUGCAGAUCACGCAUCGUGCACAAUGAGCUUCUACAGCCUUUUUGAGGUGAGGCUAAUAGAAGUGCUCUUUCACCACUGCAAGUGUCUUGUCUACUCCAAAGUGACCCAUCAGUCCUCCUCCAUGAGCUUCUCGGACAAUAAGAUUCCUAAGAGAACAUUGCGGUAUACAAAGUCUCUUGUCUCGAAACAUAAAGCCUUCAUAGAUGUAGAACUUGCCAUGAGUUCCCCUGCUACACUCCUCAAAGCUCUCUCCUAGCUCUGGAUCUUCUUUGUAAAGGUCUUUGAUGAACUCAAACCCCAUAACUUUGGCCUCCAUAGUUGCGAUGAGUGCAUGUCUUCGAGAUAAAGCAUCCGUCACUAUGUUGUCUUUGCCCUUCUUGUACUUGAUAAUGUAGGGGAAAGUCUCAAUGAACUCCAUCCACCUGGCAUGUCUCCUCUUGAGAUGGGUUUGUCCUCGAAGGUGCUUAAGUGUUUCAUGGUCAGUGUGGACCACAAACUCUCUUGACAUCAGAUAAUGCUGCCAAGUCUCUAAAGCUCUAACUAGAGCAUAUAACUCUUUGUCAUACAUUGGAUAGUUAACCGUAGCUCCUCCAAGCUUCUCACUGAAAAACGCCACUGGUUUUCCUCCUUGUGUCAGUACAGCUCCUAUGCCAAUGCCUGAUGCAUCGCACUCCACUUCAAACGUUUUGUUGAAGUCGGGUAGCACAAGAACCGGUGCAUUGGUAAGCUUCUCCUUGAGAGUAUCAAAUGCCUUUUGUUGAGCUUCUCCCCAUGUAAAACCAACACUUUUCUUCACCACAGCAGUGAGAGGUGCGGCUAUACUACUGAAAUCCUUGACAAAACGCGGAUAGAAGCUUGCUAACCCAUGGAAGCUCCUCACUUGGCUGAUAUUUGUUGGGACCGGCCAGUCUUUGAUGGCUUUUAUCUUUUCCUCAUCAACCUGUAAUCCCUGCGAGCUCACAACAAAACCUAGGAAAACCAACUUAUCAGUGCAGAAUGCGCACUUCUUUAAGUUUGCAUAAAGGCCUUCUUGUCGAAGAGUCUUUAAAACAAGCUCAAGAUGUGACACAUGAUCAGAUAAACAUUUGUUGUAAACUAAAAUAUCAUCAAAAUAAACAACAACAAACUUACUGAUGUAUGCUCUAAGAACUUGAUUCAUUAGACGCAUAAAGGUACUUGGUGCAUUGGUGAGGCCGAAGGGCAUCACCAUUCAUUCAUAGAGACCUUGCUUGGUCUUGAAGGCAGUCUUCCAUUCAUCACCUUCUUUCAUCCUCACUUGAUGGUAUCCACUCUUGAGAUCGAUCUUUGAGAACAAGGUGGCUCCACUAAGCUCAUCAAGCAUGUCAUCGAGUCUAGAAAUUGGGUGUCUAUACUUGAUGGUGAUGUUGUUGAUAGCUCGGCAAUCUACACACAUGCGCAGGAGCCAUCUCUCUUUGGCACCAACAGGACAGGAACGGCACAAGGGCUGAGGCUCUCCCUCACAUAUCCUUUGUCUAACAGCUCUUUGACUUGCCUCUCCAACUCCUUGGACUCCUCAGGGCUCAUUCGGUAAGCUGGUUUGUUUGGUAAAGCUGCUCCCGGUAUGAAGUCUAUUUGGUGUUCUAUGCCUCGAAUUGGUGGCAAUCCUUCAGGCAUUUCUUCAGGGAACACAUCUUUAAACCUGUCAAGUAAGUCAGUGAUCUCCGGUGGUAGUUCAAGUUCACCUAAACCUGCGCUCAAAAGCUCCUUAAAGAUCAUUAGUAGCAUUGUGUGUUUAGCAGCAAAAACUUUUCUAACAUAGCUAGGCUGAACAAGAAAAUUUGACUUAGAGAUAUUUUCUUUUUCUUUAAGCAUUUGCAUUUGUAGUUCAUGCACUUGUGAUGGUGUAAGAGGUGCUAAACUAACUUUUCUUUUGUUAUGCAUAAGAGUAUACAUAUUAGUCCUACCAUCAUGCUUAGUUUCUCUAUCAAAUUGCCAUGGCCUACCUAACAAUAAAUGAACAGCUUGCAUAGGAACUACAUCGCAUAAAACUUGAUCUUGAUAUUUUCCUAUGCUAAAUGGAAUGGUGACUUGAUCGGUAAUCUUAAGCUCUACCUUAUCAUCGAGCCAUCUCAGCCUAUAGAGCCGUGGAUGCUUAGUUCUCUCAAGGCCUAGCUUAUCAACCAUGUGAGCACUUGCAACAUUAGUACAAGACCCACCAUCAAUAAUAAGAUUACAUACCUUCCCCUUUAUAGUGCAACGGCUGUGAAAGAUGUUCUCUCUUUGUAUGGUCUCGGCUGGCUCCACCAUUACACUUAAUACACGUCUAGUGACAACGAGCUCUCCUGUGUCUGGAUAAGCUAUGUCACCAUACUCAUCGUCUUGAUCUUCUUGAACAUCAGCUUCAUCAUGUGACUCAUAGUCUCCAGCCUCGGUCAUGAGCAUCACUCGAUUGUUUGGACACUCGCGAGACAUAUGACCUCUUCCCCUGCAUUUGAAACAAGUAAUAUCUCUUGCACGCUGAGGGCUAUUAGUCUUACCUGCCUCUGGUCUGGUGUCUUUGCUUGUUUCAACCGCCUUCCCUUUGAAACGUGAAUCAAUUUCCACACUCUUGCCUUUGUCGAGUGGUUUGUUGAAGUUGGUGUUCCAAGUGGUUUGCGGCUUGCUUCUAGUGUUGGAGAUCUUUUUCUUGAUGUGUUGUUCUGCCUGUAUAGACAAAUGGAAAAGAUCUUUGAAGUCUUGAUAUACCUGUCUCUCCACUUUGCGGCUGAUCCUCUCUUGUAAGCCAUCAAGGAAUUGCGCCAUUAGAGCUUCUUCAUCAUCAUUGAGCUCCAAUCGGUUCCUCAAGCGCUCAAACUCCUCAUAGUAUUCUUCUACGGUCCUGGUUCCCUGUUUAAGAGUUCGAAAACGACGCUGUAAGUCUCGGUAAAAAUGAGGAGGGACAUACCUUUGCCUCAUUAGGUCUUUCAUGUCGACCCAUGUAUCAAUAGCUCUCAAGCGGCUUCUCUUUCGGUCUGAUACUUCUCUAUCCCACCAUGUAAGUGCACCGUCGGUGAGCUGAGCCACUGCUAGUGCUACUCUCUUUGGACCAGGGUGAUUGUAAUAGUUGAAGAUGUGAUCCAUCCUCUUCUCCCAAUCUAGAUAAGCCUCUGGAUCAACUUUUCCAGCAAAGUUAGGUGCCGUCAGCUUGAUGUGGUUCUGGUUCUGUCUAGAGUAGGGUGUAUACUAUUCUUCAUCAGCAUCUCCAUAAUCAUCUUGUGGCACACGUCGCCUUUGCCCGCGGUGUCUUUGAUGCCUAGGGUUUGGCUCUUCAUCUUGAGAAGAGUCGUCUUCGGUCAUUUGUGGUUCGUUGGUGCGCACUCCGUUGUGCCUUGGAUUGGUUCCGGUGUUCUGAGUGGUGUUGGGGCCGUUUCCUAAUCCUCCAUUAUGGCGAGUUGGCUGUAGAGUUACCCUUGGUGCUUGCUCCACACGGCUAAGUCUAUCUCCAAAGUCUUGCCUUAAGGCCUUGAUCUCGUCUCUCAUAGAGAUUAUUAGUUGAUGAAGAGGGUCUUGUGCAUUGCUGCUCUCCUCUCCCAUAGUUGCUUAUGGAUUUUGUUUCUCGCAAAACAAAAACACAAGAUAAAGGGUAUUUGCUUAGUUCUGAUCAAAAAAAAAAAAAAUGGAAAGUCUUGUAAUGUACUUUCUCUUUUUUUUUUUUUUUUUUAACUUGGAAUGACAACUAAACAAAUAAGGAAAUUAGUGCUGUCUAAAUAAUUAACAACUUAGCAAGAGAAUGAAUUUAAACGAGAUUAAAACAAAUAAGGAAAGUCUGACUUGAUGCACCUAAACUUGGAAAUCGACACAACAAUUCAGGACAAUUUUUUUUUUUUGACUUUUCUCUGAUGAAACAACUUAGACAAUAAUCAAAAUGAAUCAAAUGACUAGUAAAAUUAUAAUGCAGGAAGAACACAAAAAUAUAUGAUAUGAUUUUUUUUUUUAAUUUAAUAUGAUGCAAUGAAACAAAUGACUAAAUGGAAAUGAAAAGAUGUAAAUAGAUAGAUAAAACCUGGGCUGAAGGAACUUCAGCUCUGAUACUAAAAAUGAUACAAGCACCAAGCUGUCAAGGACUUGUAUAGAAUCGGAAGCAAAGCUUUAGGUCGAUGGCCAAGGGUUGAUUCAAAUGAAUGAGCAACUCUAGACAAGUGAAUCGAUGUGGUGGCUAAGUGAAAAGGUGGAUCGAAGUGUACCACACAAGUUGUGUAAGACUUGUGAUAAAACACGAGAACUUUGAUCUAGGAGGUACUGGUCUCAACUAGAG
Molecule: long non-coding RNA, 7497 nt
Filed under: Eutrema salsugineum
Lineage: Eukaryota; Viridiplantae; Streptophyta; Magnoliopsida; Brassicales; Brassicaceae
Description: long non-coding RNA (ESAL_LNC000411)
Source: RNAcentral